UGGGGAAUAUUGCACAAUGGGGGAAACCCUGAUGCAGCGACGCCGCGUGAGCGAAGAAGGUUUUCGAAUCGUAAAGCUCUGUCCUAUGAGAAGAUAAUGACGGUAUCAUAGGAGGAAGCCCCGGCUAAAUACGUGCCAGCAGCCGCGGUAAUACGUAUGGGGCGAGCGUUGUCCGGAAUUAUUGGGCGUAAAGCGAGCGCAGGCGGUUAGAAAAGUCUGAAGUGAAAGGCAGUGGCUCAACCAUUGUAGGCUUUGGAAACUGUUUAACUUGAGUGCAGAAGGGGAGAGUGGAAUUCCAUGUGUAGCGGUGAAAUGCGUAGAUAUAUGGAGGAACACCGGUGGCGAAAGCGGCUCUCUGGUCUGUAACUGACGCUGAGGCUCGAAAGCGUGGGGAGCGAACAGG
RNAcentral lists this ribosomal RNA (403 nucleotides) under Verrucomicrobiota bacterium. Its description in RNAcentral is "Verrucomicrobia bacterium partial 16S ribosomal RNA". It matches the Rfam family "Bacterial small subunit ribosomal RNA", at positions 355 to 776 of the family's 1533-position model. The record is from RNAcentral. Lineage: Bacteria; Pseudomonadati; Verrucomicrobiota.